Molecule: non-coding RNA, 126 nt
Organism: Brassica napus (rape)
Lineage: Eukaryota; Viridiplantae; Streptophyta; Magnoliopsida; Brassicales; Brassicaceae
Source: Rfam
GGAAGUUAGGAAACUGUUUUUUAACUUUUAACUAAAAAAGUUAAGAACCGGUUUUUAAAUAAGGAUAUUUAAAAACCGGUUCUUUGUAUUUUUAGUUAAAAAUUAAGAAACAGUUUCUUAACUUCC